This 406-nucleotide ribosomal RNA is filed under the name uncultured bacterium. Its description in RNAcentral is "partial 16S ribosomal RNA". It matches the Rfam family "Bacterial small subunit ribosomal RNA", at positions 30 to 526 of the family's 1533-position model. The record is from RNAcentral.
AUUGAACGCUGGCGGCAGGCCUAACACAUGCAAGUCGAACGAGUGGCGGACGGGUGAGUAAUGUCUGGGAAACUGCCUGAUGGAGGGGGAUAACUACUGGAAACGGUAGCUAAUACCGCAUACCAUCGGAUGUGCCCAGAUGGGAUUAGCUAGUAGGGGGGGGAAAGGCGCACCUAGGCGACGAUCCCUAGCUGGUCUGAGAGGAUGACCAUCCACACUGGAACGGAGACACGUUCCAGACGCCUACGGGCGGCUGCAGUGGUGAAUAUUGCAUAAUGGGCGCAAGCCUGAUGCAGCCAUGACGCGUGUAUGAAGAAGGCCUUCGGGGUGGAAAGUACUUUCAGCGGUGAGGCGUUACCCGCAGAAGAAGCACCGGCUAACUCCGUGCCAGCAGCCGCGGUAAUUC